AAGUCGUAACAAGGUUUCCGUAGGUGAACCUGCGGAAGGACCACUAAAGAGAACCUGCCCUCCGGGGUAGAUCUCCCACCCUUUGCAUACCACACCCCGUUGCUUUGGCGGGCCUGCCCAACGGCUGCCGGCGUAAGCUGGCGCGCGCCCGCCAGAGACCCCAAACUCUGAAUAUUGUCGUCUGAGUAACACAUAAUAAGUUAAAA
This 206-nucleotide unclassified non-coding RNA is filed under the name plant metagenome. Its description in RNAcentral is "partial contains small subunit ribosomal RNA and internal transcribed spacer 1". The stretch from base 1 to 46 matches the Rfam family "Eukaryotic small subunit ribosomal RNA", at positions 1786 to 1831 of the family's 1831-position model. The record is from RNAcentral.